GGGAGUGUAGCUCAGUGGCAGAGCACUUGCCUAGCAUGUGCAAGAUCAUGGGUUCAAUCCCCAGCACCA
This 69-nucleotide transfer RNA is filed under the name Heterocephalus glaber (naked mole-rat). It matches the Rfam family "tRNA". From Rfam's summary of the family: Transfer RNA (tRNA) molecules are approximately 80 nucleotides in length. Their secondary structure includes four short double-helical elements and three loops (D, anti-codon, and T loops). The record is from Rfam by way of RNAcentral. Lineage: Eukaryota; Metazoa; Chordata; Mammalia; Rodentia; Bathyergidae.